RNAcentral lists this ribosomal RNA (440 nucleotides) under uncultured bacterium. Its description in RNAcentral is "partial 16S ribosomal RNA". It matches the Rfam family "Bacterial small subunit ribosomal RNA", at positions 338 to 795 of the family's 1533-position model. The record is from RNAcentral.
CCUACGGGAGGCAGCAGUGGGGGAUAUUGCACAAUGGGGGGAACCCUGAUGCAGCGACGCCGCGUGUGGGAAGACGGUCCUCUGGAUUGUAAACCACUGUCCCCAGGGACGAAAAUGACGGUACCUGGGGAGGAAGCUCCGGCUAACUACGUGCAAGCAGCCGCGGUAAUACGUAGGGAGCGAGGGUUGUCCGGAAUUACUUGGUGAAAAGGGAGCGUAGGCGGGGAUGCAAGUUGGGUGUCAAAACUACCGGCUCAACUGGUAGUCGCACCCAAAACUGCAGCUCUUGAGUGAAGUAGAGGCAGGCGGAAUACCUAGUGUAGCGGUGAAAUGCGUAGAUAUUAGGAGGAACACCAGUGGCGAAGGCGGCCUGCUGGGCUUUUACUGACGCUGAGGCUCGAAAGUGUGGGGAGCAAACAGGAUUAGAUACCCGUGUAGUC